RNAcentral lists this long non-coding RNA (282 nucleotides) under Daphnia pulex (common water flea). RNAcentral describes it as "uncharacterized LOC124209310". Lineage: Eukaryota; Metazoa; Arthropoda; Branchiopoda; Diplostraca; Daphniidae. The record is from RNAcentral.
GGACAAAUCUCUCAUUCCAUCUUCUAGAGAACCUUGGCUAACUGUUUGGUGGUUUCAAGUGUUUGAAACUAUAGGUUUCUAAAUUUGCAUGACAGACUUUAAGUAAAGUCAUGUUGAAGAAAAAGGACUGACUGACAGUCAACAAUGUACACUACCUUGUUUGGUAACCUGUUGGCUGCUUCCCUUGAAUCUCCCUUUUUACUUUCUUAAGCUUGAUUUGAGGGUAACUCCUUCGCUACUUAUCAUGGACUUCAUCCAUUGGUGAUGCUAUAAUUCAAGAGA